Molecule: ribosomal RNA, 479 nt
Filed under: uncultured bacterium
Lineage: Bacteria
Description: partial 16S ribosomal RNA
Rfam family: Bacterial small subunit ribosomal RNA
Source: RNAcentral
GAUGAACGCUAGCGGGAGGCCUAACACAUGCAAGCCGAGCGGUAGAGUCUCUUCGGGGACUUGAGAGCGGCGUACGGGUGCGGAACACGUGUGCAACCUGCCUUUAUCAGGGGGAUAGCCUUUCGAAAGGAAGAUUAAUACCCCAUAAUAUAUUGAGUGGAAUCACUUGAUAUUGAAAACUCCGGUGGAUAGAGAUGGACACGCGCAAGAUUAGAUAGUUGGUGAGGUAACGGCUCACCAAGUCAGUGAUCAUUAGGGGGCCUGAGAGGGUGAUCCCCCACACCGGUACCGAGACACGGACCACACUCCUACGGGAGGCAGCAGUGAGGAAUAUUGGACAAUGGGUGAGAGCCUGAUCCAGCCAUCCCGCGUGAAGGACGACUGCCCUAUGGGUUGUAAACUUCUUUUGUACAGGGAUAAACCCAGAUACGUGUAUCUGGCUGAAGGUACUGUACGAAUAAGCACCGGCUAACUCCGUG